Molecule: small nucleolar RNA, 134 nt
Organism: Sorex araneus (European shrew)
Lineage: Eukaryota; Metazoa; Chordata; Mammalia; Eulipotyphla; Soricidae
Gene: U8
Rfam family: U8 small nucleolar RNA
About the family: U8 is a member of the C/D class of snoRNA which contain the C (UGAUGA) and D (CUGA) box motifs. U8 is the RNA component of a small complex (the U8 snoRNP) which is required for accumulation of mature large subunit ribosomal RNAs, 5.8S and 28S rRNAs.
Source: Ensembl
UCGCUAUGUAGAGUAAUCCUUACCUAUUGGACUAUUUAGAGGGCAGAUAGAGCAUGAUGAUUGAAGUUGGCAUGAUUCAUGAUUACUGUCUCCUGUGAUUAGGGUGCCAAAUAUUCUAAUUGCUCCUAUCUGAU